UAGUGGAGUGAUCUGUCUGGUUGAUUCCGAUAACGAACGAGAUUUUAUCCUUCUUAAUAGACUGCACCUUUUUAGGUGUAUUCUUCUUAGAGGAACUAUGGGGAAGUAUCUACCGUAAGGAAGUUGGGUCAUAACA
This 136-nucleotide ribosomal RNA is filed under the name uncultured eukaryote. RNAcentral describes it as "partial 18S ribosomal RNA". It matches the Rfam family "Eukaryotic small subunit ribosomal RNA", at positions 1299 to 1458 of the family's 1831-position model. The record is from RNAcentral.